This 519-nucleotide ribosomal RNA is filed under the name Schindleria sp. 23 TK-2010. Its description in RNAcentral is "partial 16S ribosomal RNA". It matches the Rfam family "Bacterial large subunit ribosomal RNA", at positions 1851 to 2574 of the family's 2925-position model. Lineage: Eukaryota; Metazoa; Chordata; Actinopteri; Gobiiformes; Schindleriidae. The record is from RNAcentral.
GGUCCCGCCUGCCCUGUGACAUUAGUUUAACGGCCGCGGUAUACUAACCGUGCAAAGGUAGCGUAAUAACUUGCCUUUUAAAUGAAGGCCUGUAUGAAUGGCAUCACGAGGGCCCAACUGUCUCCUUUCCCUAAUCAAUGAAACUGACCUACUCGUGCAGAGGCGGGUAUGGCACUAUUAGACGAGAAGACCCUGUGGAGCUUACAGACAAUAGAGCAAAUGUAGUUAACAACCUCCAUUUAAAAGAAUUAACCAUACUUACCUGCUCGAAUGUCUUUGGUUGGGGCGACCAUGGAGUAACACUUAACCCCCAAGAAGAAUGGUAAUUAUUACUUUAAAUAAGAGGGCCCCCUCUGCUUAUCAGAAAAUCUGCCCACCAGAUCCGGCAAGCCGAUCAACGGACCUAGUUACCCCAGGGAUAACAGCGCAAUCCCCCUUAAGAGCCCCUAUCGCCAGGGGGGUUUACGACCUCGAUGUUGGAUCAGGGCCUCCUAAUGGUGCAGCCGCUAUUAAGGGUUC